AUCGCUUCUUGGCCUUUUGGCUAAGAUCAAGUGUAAUAACUUGAAUUGUGUUCCCUUAAGAUGCAUGUUAUAUCCCAAUUUCCAUAUAUUUUAAUAAGUGACCAAAUAUAUAAGAUAUUUUAAAAUAGGGUGUUUCUCUGUAUAACUAUCAAAGGAAAGAUCUGGAUGACA
Molecule: small nuclear RNA, 171 nt
Organism: Rattus norvegicus (Norway rat)
Lineage: Eukaryota; Metazoa; Chordata; Mammalia; Rodentia; Muridae
Product: U2 spliceosomal RNA
Source: Ensembl